GGGAAGGUAGCUCAGUGGUAGAGCUCUUGCCUCGCAUGCAUGACACCCUGGGUUCAAUUCCUCAGCACCA
This is a non-coding RNA of Dipodomys ordii (Ord's kangaroo rat), 70 nucleotides long. The record is from Rfam. Lineage: Eukaryota; Metazoa; Chordata; Mammalia; Rodentia; Heteromyidae.